This 797-nucleotide long non-coding RNA is filed under the name Homo sapiens (human). RNAcentral describes it as "HSALNT0352217". The record is from RNAcentral. Lineage: Eukaryota; Metazoa; Chordata; Mammalia; Primates; Hominidae.
UCUGCCAGGGAGCGUCCUGUGAUGGAGGGGCUGCACUGCCACUUUACUGAUGAGGAAAUUAAGGUUCAGAGAGAUGAGGUCAUUUCUUAGAGGCCAGACAGCCUCCUCAGCCCAUUUAUAAGGUUGUUUCUGUGGUAUUUGCCAUAAAGCCAUAGGUUCAUUGAUUUGUUCUUAAGUAGUUCUGAGCCCUUCCUGCAUAUCAGGCAGGGACAAACAGGAAAGUCCCUGCCUUUGGCAAGUGCGGGGGAAAUGAAAUGAUUCUGCUUAGCCGCAUCCAUUGGUCUGAACAAUCACGUCUCAUGACCGCAGGGACGCGGCUUCCCCUGAAUGCGGAUCCUAGAGGCCAGGCAGAAGCAGCAUGGGUUUCCACUCACACGAUCUAUCUACUGCUCAUGAAAUCUCUGGAUUUAACUCUGAUGAAAGACUGGAGGCUGAAGGAGAACUUCAAUAUCAUAUAUUUUAAAGGUUGACUCACAGUUUGGAGCAAGAAUUAAAGAACCACGAACUUCAAGGUAAAACGGGCAACGGCGUUGGGGCAAGCCUCUCUGCACCUGCGUGUCCAGCCUCUCCUGCAUGCCAGAAGUCCCCAGGCAGGAGUGUGGUGGGACAUCCGGCUGGGGUGAUGUAAAAUUCUCAAACAAUGAGAUAGAUAAAAAGUACGCAGCCAAAAAGUUCAAGAAGAAGUGUUAUGGAGAUGGAGCAGGCCCUUCGUAAAAACACGAUGUUGGUUUUCUGGAUUUUGUAUGUUUGCUUUUUUUUUUUCCUCAUCCUAAAGAAAUAUUCACUGUCAUACCUAA